CAAGCUCAAUGCAAUGUAAUCUUUUAGAUACUUGUGAAGAUAGAUGUUUUUCCUGCGCUAUUUCAUUCUGAAUUUUUCUAGCAGUUACAACCUGUAUAAUGUCUGAUGCUUGGAUGCGCCUGUAUCAACAUUAUCAAUACUUGACUCAAUUCCUUGUGGGUUUAUGGUAUUCCAGAGAGUAGAUCAGACAAAUGUUCUUGGAGGUCUGUUUACAACUGAUGUGCUUUCUUUUGCAUAUGUAUUCCAACUGGAGGCCAGGAAAAGAUGUUUUUCGAAGGGAAGUUUUCUGUGAAAUUUAGUGCUUCAUCUGCUCCAGUUUUUUACAGAAGAGCAGAAUGCCCAGCAGUUGUCUGAUGAGAAUAUGCUGGGACUGAAUAAGCUCCAGCUGCCUGAUUGUUUUUAGCCUGAAUGAAAGGUGAGUUCUUUCAGCUAUCACGCAUCAGUCCACAUUUCAUAUAUGUACAUACAGAUUUAAU
This 476-nucleotide long non-coding RNA is filed under the name Coturnix japonica (Japanese quail). RNAcentral's name for it is "lncRNA (ENSCJPG00005009017.1)". Lineage: Eukaryota; Metazoa; Chordata; Aves; Galliformes; Phasianidae. The record is from RNAcentral.